This 892-nucleotide ribosomal RNA is filed under the name uncultured crenarchaeote. RNAcentral describes it as "bacterial SSU rRNA". It matches the Rfam family "Archaeal small subunit ribosomal RNA", at positions 1 to 879 of the family's 1478-position model. The record is from RNAcentral. Lineage: Archaea; Thermoproteati; Thermoproteota.
UUCCGGUUGAUCCUGCCGGACCCGACUGCUAUUUGGGUGAGGAUAAGCCAUGCGAGUUGAAUGGGAUACCUAAAGUUCCCAUAGCAAACUGCUCAGUAACACAUGAUCAACUUACCCUAUAGAGAAAAAUAACCUCGGGAAACUGAGGAUAAUGUUUCAUAGUUGAAUUGGCUUGGAAAAGUUUUUCGACGAAAGGGGUAAAAAAAAUGGUUUUUAUCUGCUAUAGGAUAGGAUCGUGUUCGAUUAUGGUUGUUGGUGAGGUAAUGGCUCACCAAGCCGAUAAUCGAUAGGGGCCGUGAGAGCGGGAGCCCCGAGAUGGGUACUGAGACAACGACCCAGGCCUUACGAGGCGCAGCAGGCGCGAAACCUCCGCAAUACACGAAAGUGUGACGGGGUUACCCAAAGUGUUCAAUUUUGAACUGUGGUAGGUGAGUAAUGUUCCCUACUAGAAAGGAGAGGGCAAGGCUGGUGCCAGCCGCCGCGGUAAAACCAGCUCUUCAAGUGGUCGGGAUAAUUAUUGGGCUUAAAGUGUCCGUAGCCGGUUUAGUAAGUUCCUGGUAAAAUCGGGUAGCUUAACUAUCUAUAUGCUAGGAAUACUACUAUACUAGAGGGCGGGAGAGGUCUGAGGUACUACAGGGGUAGGGGUGAAAUCUUAUAAUCCUUGUUGGACCACCAGUGGCGAAGGCGUCAGACUGGAACGCGCCUGACGGUGAGGGACGAAAGCCAGGGGAGCGAACCGGAUUAGAUACCCGGGUAGUCCUGGCCGUAAACGAUGCAUACUAGGUGAUGGCACGGCCAUGAGCCGUGUCAGUGCCGUAGGGAAACCGUUAAGUGUGCCGCCUGGGAAGUACGGUCGCAAGGCUAAAACUUAAAGGAAUUGGCGGGGGAGCAC